Molecule: ribosomal RNA, 440 nt
Filed under: uncultured bacterium
Lineage: Bacteria
Description: partial 16S ribosomal RNA
Rfam family: Bacterial small subunit ribosomal RNA
Source: RNAcentral
CCUACGGGAGGCAGCAGUGGGGAAUAUUGCACAAUGGGGGAAACCCUGAUGCAGCGACGCCGCGUGAGUGAAGAAGUAUCUCUGGAUUGAAAGCUCUAUCAGCAGGGAAGAAAAUGACGGUACCUGACUAGGAAGCCCCGGCUAACUACGUACCAGCAGCCGCUGUCAUACGUCGGGCACACGCGGUAUCCGGAUUUAAUGGGGGUUAAGGGAGCGUAGACGGGGCUGCAAGUUCGGCGUGAAAGAACAUGGCUUAACCAUGGUAUUGCUGUGGAAACUGUGGUGCUUGAGUGAGGGAGGGGUAGGCGGAAGUCCUAGUGUAGCGGUGAAAUGCGUAGAUAUUAGGAGGAACACCGGCGGCGAAGGCGGCCUGCUGGAGCGUAACUGACAUUGAGGCUCGAAAGCGUGGGGAGCGAACAGGAUUAGAUACCCCAGUAGUC